RNAcentral lists this ribosomal RNA (276 nucleotides) under uncultured bacterium. RNAcentral describes it as "partial 16S ribosomal RNA". It matches the Rfam family "Bacterial small subunit ribosomal RNA", at positions 79 to 353 of the family's 1533-position model. The record is from RNAcentral.
CUAAGUUUGAUGGCGACCGGCGCACGGGUGAGUAACACGUAUCCAACCUGCCGAUGACUCGGGGAUAGCCUUUCGAAAGAAAGAUUAAUACCCGAUGGCAUAGUUCUUCCGCAUGGUGGAACUAUUAAAGAAUUUCGGUCAUCGAUGGGGAGUGCGUUCCAUUAGGUUGUUGGCGGGGUAACGGCCCACCAAGCCUUCGAUGGAUAGGGGUUCUGAGAGGAAGGUCCCCCACAUUGGAACUGAGACACGGUCCAAACUCCUACGGGAGGCAGCAUG